UACGGAGGGUGCGAGCGUUGUCCGGAUUUAUUGGGUUUAAAGGGUGCGUAGGCGGCCUCAUAAGUCCGGGGUGAAAGCCCGUUGCUUAACAACGGAGCUGCCCUGGAUACUGCGAGGCUUGAGUACAGACGAGGUUGGCGGAAUGGACCGAGUAGCGGUGAAAUGCAUAGAUACGGUCCAGAACCCCGAUUGCAAAGGCAGCUGACUAGGCUGUUACUGACGCUGAGGCACGACAGCGUGGGGAGCGAACAGG
Molecule: ribosomal RNA, 253 nt
Filed under: uncultured bacterium
Lineage: Bacteria
Description: partial 16S ribosomal RNA
Rfam family: Bacterial small subunit ribosomal RNA
Source: RNAcentral